GGAGGGAUGGGCUUGUGGGUAAGGCACUAGACUGGGGCUCUACAGCCCUGGUUUCAAUUCCCAGUUCUGCUG
This 72-nucleotide transfer RNA is filed under the name Chelonia mydas (Green sea turtle). It matches the Rfam family "tRNA". Rfam says of the family: Transfer RNA (tRNA) molecules are approximately 80 nucleotides in length. The record is from Rfam by way of RNAcentral. Lineage: Eukaryota; Metazoa; Chordata; Testudines; Cheloniidae.